UACGUAGGUGGCAAGCGUUGUCCGGAUUUAUUGGGUUUAAAGGGUGCGUAGGCGGUCUUAUAAGUCAGCCGUUAAAGGUAGCCGCUUAACGGUUGUAAGGCGGUUGAUACUGUAAGACUUGAGUUCGUUGGAGGUUGUUGGAAUGCGCAGUGUAGCGGUGAAAUGCAUAGAGAUUGCGCGGAACACCAAUUGCGGAGGCAGAUAACUACGACGAUACUGACGCUGAGGCACGAAAGCGUGGGGAGCAAACAGG
This 253-nucleotide ribosomal RNA is filed under the name uncultured bacterium. RNAcentral's name for it is "partial 16S ribosomal RNA". It matches the Rfam family "Bacterial small subunit ribosomal RNA", at positions 524 to 776 of the family's 1533-position model. The record is from RNAcentral.